This is a long non-coding RNA of Bactrocera neohumeralis, 722 nucleotides long. RefSeq lists it as uncharacterized. The record is from RefSeq and is a predicted model, not a curated record. The transcript is spliced from 2 exons. NCBI's taxonomy places the organism in Eukaryota, Metazoa, Arthropoda, Insecta, Diptera, Tephritidae.
CAGAAGGAAGCAGUACGACUCGGAUGCGCCUUUUGAGCUAAUUGCCAUGUAGCUGGUCCGCUUCCUACCAAUAAAUUACGAAACUAAUAUGUUUUGCUGGUCACAAACCAUUUCAGCAAAUGGCCACAGGCAUACAAAUACCUAAUCAAGAGACUGAACUAAUAGUGGACGUAUUCAAAACUGGAUAUCAGAAACACAUGAAGGAAGGUAGAAGUAGAGGAACACAAUCGAGCUUCAGACAGUUGCGGAAAGACAAAUAUGCAAAAAUUUGGGAUACCCAAAUUUCCUUGUUCCUGAUGGCUUAUCGGUGUAUUGUACAUGAAACAACGAGGUAGACUGCAGUAAGGGUGAUUUUUAGUAACGAUCUUCAGUUACCCAUUGAUUUGAAGUUUAUAAUAACGCUAACGGAGGAAGAAAUACUAAAUAAGUCAAGAACAUCCUAGACGACGAGGUAAGAAAAACUGAAGCUACGCCUUUGGUACCGUAAAUAUGUCUAAUUGGAACGAUCUGACAAUCAGAAUCGAUGAUCAUCAACCAAACAGCGAAGUUGCAAGUUGACAGAAUAUUCGAGUGGCGAUUUUUUCGCACAGUUUUAUAAUUAAGUCUAUAGUGGCUAUAAUAAACGUUCCAGACAGCAAGCCAAUUGAGUCAAUUAGCAAUUUUUUUUGAAAAAAAGUACUAAAAUAAUGAAUAAUUAAUAAAUUCACUAAAUUUGAGAAGUA